Molecule: ribosomal RNA, 196 nt
Filed under: Clostridioides difficile
Lineage: Bacteria; Bacillati; Bacillota; Clostridia; Peptostreptococcales; Peptostreptococcaceae
Description: partial 23S ribosomal RNA
Rfam family: Bacterial large subunit ribosomal RNA
Source: RNAcentral
CUGCCAAGGGCAUGGCUGGGUAGCUAUGUACGGAAUGGAUAAGCGCUGAAAGCAUCUAAGCGCGAAGCCAACUUCAAGAUAAGAUUUCCCACCGCAAGGGUAAGACCCCAGAAAGACUAUCUGGUUGAUAGGUCGACGGUGUAAGUGCAGCAAUGUAUUUAGCUUAUCGAUACUAAUAGGUCGAGGACUUGACCAA